This 679-nucleotide ribosomal RNA is filed under the name Pseudomonas sp. Air98. Its description in RNAcentral is "bacterial SSU rRNA". It matches the Rfam family "Bacterial small subunit ribosomal RNA", at positions 79 to 754 of the family's 1533-position model. Lineage: Bacteria; Pseudomonadati; Pseudomonadota; Gammaproteobacteria; Pseudomonadales; Pseudomonadaceae. The record is from RNAcentral.
CUUGCUCCUGGAUUCAGCGGCGGACGGGUGAGUAAUGCCUAGGAAUCUGCCUGGUAGUGGGGGACAACGUUUCGAAAGGAACGCUAAUACCGCAUACGUCCUACGGGAGAAAGCAGGGGACCUUCGGGCCUUGCGCUAUCAGAUGAGCCUAGGUCGGAUUAGCUAGUUGGUGAGGUAAUGGCUCACCAAGGCGACGAUCCGUAACUGGUCUGAGAGGAUGAUCAGUCACACUGGAACUGAGACACGGUCCAGACUCCUACGGGAGGCAGCAGUGGGGAAUAUUGGACAAUGGGCGAAAGCCUGAUCCAGCCAUGCCGCGUGUGUGAAGAAGGUCUUCGGAUUGUAAAGCACUUUAAGUUGGGAGGAAGGGUUGUAGAUUAAUACUCUGCAAUUUUGACGUUACCGACAGAAUAAGCACCGGCUAACUCUGUGCCAGCAGCCGCGGUAAUACAGAGGGUGCAAGCGUUAAUCGGAAUUACUGGGCGUAAAGCGCGCGUAGGUGGUUUGUUAAGUUGGAUGUGAAAUCCCCGGGCUCAACCUGGGAACUGCAUCCAAAACUGGCAAGCUAGAGUAUGGUAGAGGGUGGUGGAAUUUCCUGUGUAGCGGUGAAAUGCGUAGAUAUAGGAAGGAACACCAGUGGCGAAGGCGACCACCUGGACUGAUACUGACACUGAGGUGC